Molecule: ribosomal RNA, 429 nt
Filed under: uncultured bacterium
Lineage: Bacteria
Description: bacterial SSU rRNA
Rfam family: Bacterial small subunit ribosomal RNA
Source: RNAcentral
UGGGGAAUAUUGGGCAAUGGGGGAAACCCUGACCCAGCCAUGCCGCGUGAGUGAUGAAGGCCUUCGGGUCGUAAAGCUCUGUGGGGAGGGAAAAAGCGAUGUCCCGUGAACAAUGGGGUGUUGUGAUGGUACCUCCUUAGCAAGCACCGGCUAACUCUGUGCCAGCAGCCGCGGUAAUACAGAGGGUGCAAACGUUGCUCGGAAUUAUUGGGCGUAAAGCGCACGUAGGCGGCAUCGUAAGUCCGAUGUGAAAGCCCUGGGCUCAACCCAGGAAGUGCAUUGGAUACUGCGGAGCUUGAAUCUGGAAGAGGGUCGCGGAAUUCCCGGUGUAGAGGUGAAAUUCGUAGAUAUCGGGAGGAACACCAGUGGCGAAGGCGGCGACCUGGGCCAAGAUUGACGCUGAGGUGCGAAAGCGUGGGGAGCAAACAG